RNAcentral lists this ribosomal RNA (227 nucleotides) under uncultured bacterium. RNAcentral's name for it is "partial 16S ribosomal RNA". It matches the Rfam family "Bacterial small subunit ribosomal RNA", at positions 15 to 230 of the family's 1533-position model. The record is from RNAcentral.
GAUCCUGGCUCAGGAUGAACGCUAGCUACAGGCUUAACACAUGCAAGUCGAGGGGCAGCAUGGUCUUAGCUUGCUAAGACUGAUGGCGACCGGCGCACGGGUGAGUAACACGUAUCCAACCUGCCGUCUACGUCUUGGGCAGCCUUCUGAAAGGAAGACUUAAUACAAGAUGGCAUCAUGAGUCCGCAUGUUCACAUGAUUAAAGGGUAUUCCGGUAGACGAUGGGG